UGGGAACCUUCCCUAUGGUUCGGAAUAGCCCAGGGAAACUUGGGGUAAUACCGAAUAAGCCCUUCGGGGAAAGAUUUAUCGCCAUUGGAUGGGCCCGCGUCGGAUUAGCUAGUUGGUGGGGUAACGGCCCACCAAGGCGACGAUCCGUAGCUGGUCUGAGAGGAUGAUCAGCCACACUGGGACUGAGACACGGCCCAGACCUCCGACGGGAGCAG
Molecule: ribosomal RNA, 215 nt
Filed under: uncultured bacterium
Lineage: Bacteria
Description: partial 16S ribosomal RNA
Rfam family: Bacterial small subunit ribosomal RNA
Source: RNAcentral